ACUAUACGGUGCCCCGACAAACAACAAAGAAUACAUGUGUGCAUUAUUUCAACAGGAACACGCCUAUCAGGCCCAUGCGAAACAAAAAGACGUUUUGUCGUGCUGCAAAAUUAAACAAAAGUACCCAUGCACUACCGGAUUCAGGACCUUAGACACUCGGCAAAGUCUUUGACGCGUGUAACACCCGGCAAAGGACACUCGGUAGUGAAUAUUUCGGCAAAGACGUCUUUGCCGAGUGCCUUUUAUCGAGCACUCGGCAAAGGCUUUGCUGAGUGUCAGGGUAGGCACUCGGCAAAGAAAAGUAGCCAUGACGGCGUUUGUGGCCAUGACGGCUCUUUGCCGAGCGCCCUCUGGCUGGCGCUCGGCAAAGACUGGCCCUUUGCCGAGGCCUGUGACGUGGCCCUCGGCAAAGGGCCUAGUCUUUGCCGAGCGCCCUCAGUUUGGCGCUCGGCAAAGGCUGGCUCUUUGCCGAGUGCCUGUGACGUGGCACUCGGCAAAGGGCAGUCUUUGCCGAGCGCCAAACGGAGGGCGUUUGGCAAAGUUUAGGUCACUUUGCCGAGUGCCUGUUACGUGGCACUCGGCAAAGUUCAGGUCACUUUGCCGAGUGCUUUUUUUAUACACUCGGCAAAGACUUUUUUUAAAAGAUUUUAAUUUGUUUUUUCCCCACCAUUUUACACAGGCACAUAUCCACACAGGCAUAUUAUUUAAAAUUUCACAUACACAACCAAAUUCACGCAAGACUUAUGGUCACAACCAAAUUUAACAAAGUCUCGUCAUCACACAAAUAAUAUCAUAUACACAAGUUCACCACAUAAGUGUUAACAACGAUAAAGGUUCAUUUGAAGUUCACCACACAUGUUCACCACACAAGCUCACCACACAAGCUCCAAUGUCACAAAUGAAGAUUUCGAGAUGGCUGAUUUGGAGUUGCCUGAUUUGGAGAUGGCGUAGCAUGCGGAUCAUUUGACGCCGCCGAUUGUCUCUACACAGAGAAGAAUAGAUUGCAUGUGAGACAAGAUAAAUGACGAUCAUACAUAAAUAUAGCCAGACUAUUAGAAACCUAACCAAUAAAGCUAACAAAGAAGAUGGAUUACUUUUAACCAAUAAAACUGAAAUGCAAAUGACAGCAGAUAAGCACACACAUACAUGGGCACACUUAUAGAAACAUACACGCGUGAGAACACUACAGGCACACACAUAGUGAGAACAAAAUAAAACAAACAUCACUGGAGUAGUAUCUCAAAUAGUAGUUCUGAACUAAAACCAUGCAUUUGAUGUUGUACCAGCAAAUACUUGACAUGGCAUACACUGAGAUACUGAUGCACUGCUACUUAAGCAUUCUAAAUGAAACAUGAAACAAAAAUUCAACAAGGCAAUUGCCCAAAACAAAGGUCUCUAGUUGCAGGUUCCAACAAUACUAGGAGAGCUAAGAGGUCUGCCACUGCCAAUACAGGUGGUCAUAAAUCCAAGGAAAACUCUAGAAUUCAUAGAUUCUCCUAACGUGAACUAUUAAAACAAAAGGAAAUACUGAAGUAUGCACCAUUGCCAAAUUGCUGUUACUGAAUAUGAAUAAAUAGAAGAACGAAGGGAAACAAGAGAGAAGGAAUAAUUUCCUCUUCCACUUAUAUUUUACCAUUGGAGCAUCUAGACUUAACCUAUAGUUACAUAUAUACCCUAGACUUGACAAAAGCUGGCGAUAUAUACAUGACUGUGUAGUAGAUCGACUCGUAGGUCGUGCAAGCUAGAGCUGAGCCGACCAUCUGCAGAAGCUGCAUGCGUAAGCUAGAGAGCUAGCUAGCAGCAGCAGCAGCGAGGUGACACGACGGUGGAGUACGUACAAUUUAGCAGAAUAUAUGUGUGGGGAUCUACUACGUUCCGAAUGAAGUGGGAAAGAUGCUACACUUACAGGAGUAGAGUACGGAUCAGGUGGUGGAGGUUACGCGAACAGAGAAGCUGGCGGAUGUACACCCGUUGCAGCGCUAAGACUCUGCAUGUAAAGCAAAUGCCGUGAAGAGAUUGCAAGGCUGGCCACCAUGUGACGAUGACUGCGAGAAAAGCAACAAGAUGAUUAGAAAGCAUGCAUAAUUGAGUGUUAGAUGAAAUAAAUGUAUUCGUGUACCCAUGCUUCAGCGUAUCCGCUGAGGUUGCGGCAGCCUUGAUGGUGUGCUACACCUGGCAUCAUCAAACGUCGCUCCCGGCAAGCAACGUGAUUCUCCUCCCACUCCUCGGAGCACCACUUCUGCACUAUGUGUCGCCAGCAAUCGGGAUACGAGAUGCACCAAUUAGGAGUCACCUACAAGACACCAAGUACAUGCAUGACGUAUUAGAAGAUGAAAUUAAGCCAUCCUAAUGUAGAAAAAGAAUCAAGCCACAGUGUUUUGUUCUUUACCUGUAUGUACUGCUCCGGAGUCAAAUAAAUUGUUCUUGCUUCUUCUUUGGUGACCCUCUGUCCAAGGACGGUGGCGUGGUAAUUUCUAACGGCUUGGAUACGCGCCUCGUAGUGCAUCUCUCAGACCAGUUUCUUGCAGCAGUUGGUGAUCACCACAUCUGCCUCGCCCUCUUUACCAGCCUCGCAUCUGAAGAAAUCCUACAUAUACAAACACAAUGGAUCUCAUUCAUUUAUGGUAUAAAAUUGUGCAAUUAAUAUGCGAUUUAUCGAGCACUUACCCACAGCUCCCCCUUCACCCGCUCCGCCUUGUUGCUGAAUACCCUGCCCUCCCGAUCUUCAGCAUCGAGGGCCGCGGCGUAGUGCUCAAACGUAUAGGCCAGCUCCCACACUCCGCCGUACUCAACGAUGCCAGGAAAGUGUUGCCUGCAUAGAAUACCGAUGAUGCCAUUGACGGUGCGCUUGUGAGAAGCUCCAGGCUGCACAAUCUUCCAACCCCUGCACAAGUGAUUAAGAAAAAUCAUUACUUUCUAUUCCAGAUUUGAACAUAUAACAUGUAGAAAUGGUGAAAAUAUUUAAAGUUACCUGUUCUUAUCGGGAGUAAUCAGCGGGCGCCUGUCACGAGGUAUCGGUCGGUGAGGGAGACUCGAGGGACCUCGCAAGUAGACUCUCGAUGCACUAGAGGCUGCGGAACUAGAGCCCGUGGAACCAGAGGCGGUGUGCUGCAAAUCCUCAUCCUCCUCCUACGACUCCUCAUCCCUCUCCUGCACCUCCUCGUCCCUCUCCUGCACCUCAUCCUACGUAGGCAACUGUGCCUCCUCCUCCGUGUUGUCCUACGAGGGCCCCUGUGAGCUCCCCCUCCCCCUCCCCCUCCCCUCCUCCCCCUCCCCCUCCGUGACGACCCCUCUGCUACAUCGGACGGUGCAGGGGCACUACUCGCCCUGGAGUAAAGGGACCGUACGUUCCUCAAGUAACCACCGCCCACCAUCUUUGUUCAAUCACCUGAAAUUAAGAAGAGUAAAUCAAUAAGUACAGAUAAACAUACCAUACUUAGAAAGAGAUGCAAAAUAAAUAAAAUAUAAUUAUGUAAUAAUAUAGUAUUACAUUGAUUAAAAGUAAUCUUCAUCAUCAGGAUUAGCUGGAUCAUAAGUCUCAUCAUCACUAUCAACCAUGUCAUAGUCCGCAUUAUCCGAAGCAUAACUAUCGUCAUUGACAUUGCCUAAAUGUAAUGCUUCUAGCAUUUGUAAGUCUUUUGCAUUUUGCACCUCAUCCUCCUCCUCCUCCUCAUCAAUAACCAUUUCAACUUCCAUUCCGAUCGCUUCGGUUAAGUCUAUCUCAAAUCGCCCUUCUAGCCCCUCUUCUUGAAAGAACUCUUCAUCAUAUGUGUUUGGGUCUAAGUUGUAAUCGUCAUUGAUUGGGACAGGUACUUUGCCAUGCGGUGAUACCUUGUGCACAACAUACCAACCCUUAAGAUGCUCCUUGGUUUGGCACGCAUAUGGGAGAUAAUAAACUUGUAUGACUUGUUGGGCCACAAUAUAGACAUCGUCUCCUGGUAAGACGGAAUCCUGUCGGACCUCCACUAGCCCAAGAUUAGAAUAUGUCCGUCUCGUUACCUCUGGAUCAAACCAAUGGCAUUUGAAUAUGACGGGAUUGAGAGGUUUGGAACCAUGAAAACUGAGUUCGUAUAUUUCUUCAAUUCUUUCAUAAUACUCGACAUUAUCAAGGCCGAGAGUAAAAACUCCAGAAUUUGUGGUCUUUCGAUUGGGUCAACUUGCCUCAUGGCUUCUCAUCCAAAAACGAUAUCCAUUAACGUCAUAACUAGAAUAUGACCUGACCCUAUUGUCAAAGCCAUCUGCAACCUGUCUCAACUCGGCACUCAUCCUAUGACCCUGCAAGUUCAAGCACGAUAGAUCGUUAUAUUAUUUGCACGUAACAACAACUACGAUUGACAAACUAAGUACGAGCUACAUUGGACAGUACCUGCUGUUUGAACCAAGCAAUGAAAGUGGGCGAUCCAUUCCCCGCGCCCUGUCUAAGAAGGGUAUCACAUUCCUGCUCAGUAGGAUCCCUUGAUUGACGCCAGAACUCACGAAGAAAUCGCUUCAUGUACGGCACCACCUCUUCAAGGUUGGUCAACACAUAUAGCAUGAUCUGACGCCAUUCUUGAGGGCUCAAUGUCUUAUUGCUCGAACCACUUGCACUUCCGAGUUGCCCUUGCAACAGGCUGAGGUUCGAUUCAUUUUCGCUAGCAUUGUAACGAGGGGGAGGAUUUUGCACGUUAGGGAGGUUGUCACCUACAGGAUAGCAAGUACAUGCAUGACAUAUUAGAAGAUGUAAUUAAGCCAUCCUAAUGUACAAAACGACUAAAGUCACGAUGUUCUGUUCUUACCAUAGUAUGUUGUUGUGAAGUUGGACACCUCUUCAUGAAUGUAUGCCUCUGCAAUGGAAGCCUCAAUUUUGCUUUUA
Molecule: long non-coding RNA, 4852 nt
Organism: Panicum hallii
Lineage: Eukaryota; Viridiplantae; Streptophyta; Magnoliopsida; Poales; Poaceae
Exons: 2
Source: RefSeq, a predicted model, not a curated record